Long non-coding RNA from Hipposideros armiger (great roundleaf bat), 607 nucleotides. RefSeq lists it as uncharacterized. Lineage: Eukaryota; Metazoa; Chordata; Mammalia; Chiroptera; Hipposideridae. The transcript has 2 exons. The record is from RefSeq and is a predicted model, not a curated record.
GCACUCCGCCAUAGGCCAGGCUUUUCAUGACACAGCCUCAGAUGUCACGCAGCGUCACUUCUGCUGCGUCCUCAGGCUGCCGCCCGUGGGGACAGUCUGGCAGGUCCUCAGAAAGUUCAGCAUGGACUUACACAUGACCCAGCAAUCCCACUGUUCCAUGUACUCCAAGCAACCAGAAUGGACUCCCACAGAUGCUUAUGGCAGCAUCAGUGUCCACAGCAGCUAAAAGCACCUGUCCAUCAACACAUGAUGGACACCUGUGGGCCGGCCAUACACCAGAAAACGACUCAGCCAUAGGAGGAACCGCACUCUGACACCUGCUCCAACACGACGCCCCUGCUGUUACACUGCAGGAGAGAAGCAGACACAGAAGGUCACAAGGUGCAUGACCGAUUCAUACGAAAUGCCCAGAAUAGUCAAAUCCACAGAGACAGAGAGCGAUCAGGAACUGCGGGGGCUGGGAAGGGGACAGUGCACAGGGACUGCUUAGUGGGAGGGGGUUUCCUUUGGGGAUGAUGCACAUGUUCUGGAACUGGACAGAGGUGAUGGUUACACCCUGUUAUGAAUGUACUAAAUGCCACUGUACACAGUAAAAGGGCUAACGUUA